Molecule: ribosomal RNA, 448 nt
Filed under: uncultured bacterium
Lineage: Bacteria
Description: bacterial SSU rRNA
Rfam family: Bacterial small subunit ribosomal RNA
Source: RNAcentral
UGGGGAAUAUUGGACAAUGGGCGAAAGCCUGAUCCAGCAAUGCCGCGUGAGUGAUGAAGGCCUUAGGGUUGUAAAGCUCUUUUUACCAGGGAUGAUAAUGACAGUACCUGGAGAAUAAGCUCCGGCUAACUCCGUGCCAGCAGCCGCGGUAAUACGGAGGGAGCUAGCGUUGUUCGGAAUUACUGGGCGUAAAGCGUACGUAGGCGGUGACUCAAGUCAGGGGUGAAAGCCUGGAGCUCAACUCCAGAACUGCCUUUGAAACUAGGUCGCUAGAAUCACGGAGAGGUGAGUGGAAUUCCGAGUGUAGAGGUGAAAUUCGUAGAUAUUCGGAAGAACACCAGUGGCGAAGGCGGCUCACUGGACGUGUAUUGACGCUGAGGUACGAAAGCGUGGGGAGCAAACAGGAUUAGAUACCCUCGUAGUCCCUGAGCGGGCUGGCAAGGCGCAU